RNAcentral lists this ribosomal RNA (468 nucleotides) under uncultured bacterium. RNAcentral describes it as "partial 16S ribosomal RNA". It matches the Rfam family "Bacterial small subunit ribosomal RNA", at positions 28 to 507 of the family's 1533-position model. The record is from RNAcentral.
GACGAACGCUGGCGGCGUGCUUAACACAUGCAAGUCGAACGGAAAGGCCCUGCUUUUGUGGGGUGUUCGAGUGGCGAACGGGUGAGUGACACGUGAGUAACCUGCCCUCGACUUUGGGAUAACUUCAGGAAACUGGGGCGAAUACCGGACAGGAGCUCCUGCUGCAUGGUGGGGGUUGGAAAGUUUCGGCGGUUGCGGAUGGUCGGGCGGCUCAUCAGCUUGUUGGUGGGGUAGUGGCUUACCAAGGCUUUGACGGGUAGCCGGCCUGAGAGGGUGACCGGGCACAUUGGGACUGAGGUAGGGCCCAGACGCCAACGUGAGGCAGCGGUGGGAAACAUUGCACAAUGGGCCGAAGCGUGAUGCAGCGACGCCGGGUGCGGAAUGUCGGCCUUCGGGUUGUAAACCGCUUUAGCCUGAGACGAAGCGUGAGUGACGGUAAUGGGUAAAGAAGCAACGGCUAACUACGUG